UACGAAGGGGGCUAGCGUUGCUCGGAUUUACUGGGCGUAAAGCGCGCGUAGGCGGAUCGCUAAGUCAGGGGUGAAAUGCCGAGGCUCAACCUCGGAACUGCCUUUGAUACUGACGAUCUGGAGAUCGGGAGAGGUGAGUGGAAUUCCGAGUGUAGAGGUGAAAUUCGUAGAUAUUCGGAAGAACACCAGUGGCGAAGGCGACUCGCUGGACAGGUAUUGACGCUGAGGUGCGAAAGCGUGGGGAGCAAACAGG
RNAcentral lists this ribosomal RNA (253 nucleotides) under uncultured bacterium. Its description in RNAcentral is "partial 16S ribosomal RNA". It matches the Rfam family "Bacterial small subunit ribosomal RNA", at positions 524 to 776 of the family's 1533-position model. The record is from RNAcentral.